AGAGUUUGUAACACCCAAAGCCGGUGGGGUAACCUUUUAGGAGCUAGCCGUCUAAGGUGGGACAGAUGAUUAGGGUGAAGUCGUAACAAGGUAGCCGUAGGAGAACCUGCGGCUGGAUCACCUCCUUUCUAAGGAAUAAUACGGAACCGCACACGAGUCAAAGUUUUGUUUAGUUUUGAGAGGUCUACUCUCACUUUUGUUCUUUGAAAACUGAAUAAUAUCUAUAAUUUUCUAAUUUUAAUUAAUCAUAAUUAAACCGAGAGAAAACCGCGUAAUUUUAAAGAGUUAAACAAGAUUAGUUCAAAAUAAUCGCAAUACUCAAUUAAUCGCUUUACCGUAGGUAAAGUUAGGUUAAGUUAGGAAGGGCGCAUGGUGGAUGCCUUGGUACUAGGAGCCGAUGAAGGACGGGACUAACACCGAUAUGCCUCGGGGAGCUGUAAGUAAGCUUUGAUCCGGGGAUUUCCGAAUGGGGCAACCCAAUAGUUUUAAUCGACUAUUAUCCGCAUCUGAAUUCAUAGGAUGUGUGAAGGUAA
This 533-nucleotide unclassified non-coding RNA is filed under the name Lentilactobacillus kefiri. RNAcentral's name for it is "Lactobacillus kefiri partial contains 16S ribosomal RNA, 16S-23S intergenic spacer, and 23S ribosomal RNA". The stretch from base 350 to 533 matches the Rfam family "Bacterial large subunit ribosomal RNA", at positions 1 to 183 of the family's 2925-position model. The record is from RNAcentral. Lineage: Bacteria; Bacillati; Bacillota; Bacilli; Lactobacillales; Lactobacillaceae.